This 508-nucleotide ribosomal RNA is filed under the name uncultured bacterium. RNAcentral's name for it is "bacterial SSU rRNA". It matches the Rfam family "Bacterial small subunit ribosomal RNA", at positions 16 to 518 of the family's 1533-position model. The record is from RNAcentral.
AUCCUGGCUCAGGAUGAACGCUAGCGGCAGGCUUAACACAUGCAAGUCGAGGGGCAGCGCGAGUAGCAAUACUUGGCGGCGACCGGCGCAAGGGUGCGUAACGCGUGAGCAACAUGCCCGUAUCAGGGGGAUAAUCCAGGGAAACUUGGUCUAAUACCCCAUAGUAAUUUUGUAAGGCAUCUUAUAAGAUUUAAAGCUUUGGUGGAUACGGAUUGGCUCGCGUGACAUUAGCUGGAUGGUAAGGUAACGGCUUACCAUGGCUAUGAUGUCUAGGGGUUCUGAGAGGAAGGUCCCCCACACUGGAACUGAGACACGGUCCAGACUCCUACGGGAGGCAGCAGUGAGGAAUAUUGGACAAUGGAUGGAAAUCUGAUCCAGCCAUGCCGUGUGAAGGAAAGAAGGUCCUAUGGAUUGUAAACUUCUUUUGUAUGGGAGCAAUAAGGCCUACGAGUAGGUUGAUGAGAGUACCAUACGAAUAAGCACCGGCUAACUCCGUGCCAGCCGCAGC